GACGAACGCUGGCGGCGCGCCUAACACAUGCAAGUCGAACGAGCGAGAGAGAGCUUGCUUUCUCGAGCGAGUGGCGAACGGGUGAGUAACGCGUGAGGAACCUGCCUCAAAGAGGGGGACAACAGUUGGAAACGACUGCUAAUACCGCAUAAGCCCACGGUGCCGCAUGGCACAGAGGGAAAAGGAGCAAUCCGCUUUGAGAUGGCCUCGCGUCCGAUUAGCUAGUUGGUGAGGUAACGGCCCACCAAGGCGACGAUCGGUAGCCGGACUGAGAGGUUGAACGGCCACAUUGGGACUGAGACACGGCCCAGACUCCUACGGGAGGCAGCAGUGGGGAAUAUUGCACAAUGGGGGAAACCCUGAUGCAGCGACGCCGCGUGGAGGAAGAAGGUCUUCGGAUUGUAAACUCCUGUUGUUGGGGAAGAUAAUGACGGUACCCAACAAGGAAG
This 449-nucleotide ribosomal RNA is filed under the name uncultured bacterium. RNAcentral describes it as "bacterial SSU rRNA". It matches the Rfam family "Bacterial small subunit ribosomal RNA", at positions 28 to 490 of the family's 1533-position model. The record is from RNAcentral.